This 472-nucleotide ribosomal RNA is filed under the name uncultured bacterium. RNAcentral's name for it is "SSU rRNA". It matches the Rfam family "Bacterial small subunit ribosomal RNA", at positions 26 to 518 of the family's 1533-position model. The record is from RNAcentral.
AGGACGAACGCUGGCGGCGUGCUUAACACAUGCAAGUCGAGCGGAAAGGCCCUUCGGGGUACUCGAGCGGCGAACGGGUGAGUAACACGUGAGUAAUCUGCCCCUAGCUCUGGGAUAGCUCCGGGAAACCGGGAUUAAUACCAGAUACGACCACUUUAGACAUCUGCUGUGGUGGAAAGAAUUUCGGCUAGGGAUGAGCUCGCGGCCUAUCAGCUUGUUGGUGAGGUAACGGCUCACCAAGGCGACGACGGGUAGCCGGCCUGAGAGGGCGACCGGCCACACUGGGACUGAGACACGGCCCAGACUCCUACGGGAGGCAGCAGUGGGGAAUAUUGCGCAAUGGGCGAAAGCCUGACGCAGCGACGCCGCGUGGGGGAUGAAGGCCUUCGGGUUGUAACCCCUUUCAGCAGGGACGAAGCGAAAGUGACGGUACCUGCAGAGAAGCGCCGGCUAACUACGUGCCAGCAGCCGC